Molecule: ribosomal RNA, 226 nt
Filed under: uncultured Streptococcaceae bacterium
Lineage: Bacteria; Bacillati; Bacillota; Bacilli; Lactobacillales; Streptococcaceae
Description: partial 16S ribosomal RNA
Rfam family: Bacterial small subunit ribosomal RNA
Source: RNAcentral
GACGUAGGUAACCUGCCUGGUAGCGGGGGAUAACUAUUGGAAACGAUAGCUAAUACCGCAUAAGAGUAGAUGUUGCAUGACAUUUGCUUAAAAGGUGCAAUUGCACCACUACCAGAUGGACCUGCGUUGUAUUAGCUAGUUGGUGGGGUAACGGGCUCACCAAGGCGACGAUACAUAGCCGACCUGAGAGGGUGAUCGGCCACACUGGGACUGAGACACGGCCCAG